Pantherophis guttatus is the source of this 750-nucleotide non-coding RNA. The record is from RefSeq and is a predicted model, not a curated record. NCBI's taxonomy places the organism in Eukaryota, Metazoa, Chordata, Lepidosauria, Squamata, Colubridae.
GAGAUUGUGCCAUCUGAAGCAAAGGAUUUUUCUUUUUAUCAAAUAUACCAGUUUAAAAGUGUUGAGUCGCCACAACCACACAACUGGUGUGGGCAGAUCUCAAGGCAUCUAGGUGGGCUUGGGUCGUAAACAGUGGUGGGAUGCUCCCGGUUCACAAUGGUUCUAUAGAACCGGUAGUAAAAGCGGCGGGAGGCUCCACCCACUGAUACUGACAUCACCAAAACGCUUCUGCACAUGUGCAGAAGAGCGCGCGGGCGGCCCCGCCACGAACCAGUAGUAAAGUGUGGAAAACUAUCCCUACGGCACGAGGAACUGGAGAGCUUCAACGGGUUUCCGAAGACUUUGACUGAGGCUUCCAGACGUAAUCCCGGAUCAUGGAAUAGACCACGCCUGGAAGACAAAAAAGAAAGAAAGAAAAAAAAAACACAAUAAGCAACUUUGGUGGGUGAAAAAAUGUGUUGAUGUAAUAACCACGAGAGGGAUCUUGGAGUCCUAGUGGACGAUCGCUUAAAGAUGAGCCAGCCGUGUGCGGCAGCAGCCACAAAGGCCAAUACGAUCCUAGGCUGAAUUAACAGACAGAUAGAAUCAAGAACACGAGAAGUGUUAGUACCAACUGAUAAAGCCUUAGUAAGACCCUAUGUGGAAUACUGCAUCCAGUUUUAUUAUAAAAUAAUAUAUGUUAUGUAAAAUAUAUAUUAUAUUAUAAAGUAUUACACUAUAAAAUAUUGCUAAAUAUUAUAUUGUAAAAUA